AUAUAUAUAUAUUUAUAUAUAUAUAUGAUAUAUAUUAUUAGAAAUUAAGAAAUAAAAAUCAUUGUGAAUCGAUCGACGUUUAAUAUAACACAAAUUAUUCCUUUUCGAGCAUUCAAACAUUUCAUAACUAAAUUAAUUAUAAAAGUUAAUUGAAUAAUUGAAAAAAAAGGAAGAAAAAGGAAAAAAGGAAAUGAUAUCGCAGAAAAAAAUGACGACAAUUUUAUAGAAUUUCUAUAGAAAUAAUAAAACACUAAACGUUGUAUAUGUAAAAGUUUAGGAUGUUCUGCAAUAAAAUUUAAGAGGAUAGGAAUAUAACACCAUAAUAACUUUAAUAAUUAAUUAUAUUAAUUCCGAAAAAUAUAUUUGAACGUCGGUCGGUGUACAGGUCAACGAAGAUGGAUUUGUCUCUUCUAUUUUUCUUUCUGGCUUUAAAUAGAAAUUCAACCUGUACGAGAAUGAGUACGAGAAACAUUUCAAAAAGAAUAGAAAAAAAAAUGUGAAAGAAGAAAUUUCGAGAAAAAAAAGUUCGAUCUUUGUAUCAUGUCAUAUCUAAUUCCCGUUGUUAUCGUCAGCGAGACCAAGUAUUUAAAAAAAUAAAAAACAAAAAAAAAAGGAAAACCGAAACGAAGUACUAACGCGAUUUAAGCGAAGUAUAUAAGUAAUCCAUAAGGAUCCAUCGAAAAUUUGACAAAUGCUGAUUAAUGCUUUCCUCGGAGAAAAUGCGUAGAUUAAAAAAAAGGAAAAGAAAAGAAAAGAAAAAAAAAAAGGAAAAAAAAAAGAAAAAGAAAUAAGAAAAAAAAAAGGACAACAUUUUGAUGCAUACUUCUAACGAUAAGCAUCGUAGUUAGUAUAUUAAAUCGCUUAUAUAAUCGUAGUAUUCCUUAGUUUCCUUCUGACAGAUUUCUUUGGUUGAACAUUUUGUCCGAUAUCGAUAACGUGACAUUAAAAAUAGAUACUCACGUAAAUGCAAUAUAUUCGUCUUAUACUUUUUAAAAUAAAACAAAUCACGAAUCAAAAUUGAUCUCGACGACCGAAUGUUCUUCUUCGAGAAAAAGAAAAGAAAAGAAAAAAAAAAAAAACAAAAUAAGUAAACCUUCUCGACACUUCGCGUAUUUUUCGGACACAUACGUAAAUACAACAUAUUCGUCUUAUACUUUUCAAAGUAAAACGAAUUACGAAUAAGAAUUGAUCUCGACGACCGAAUGUUCUUCCUCGAGAAAAAAUAAAAGAAAAGAAAAAAAAAAAAAAAAUAAAAAAGAAAAAAAAAAACAAAACAAGAAAAUCUUGUCGACACUACGCGGGCGGAUUAGUUUAUAGAAACUUAGAUUAAAUCGACUUCCUCGAAGAGAAAGGAAUAUGUAUGUAAGUACGAAUCGCAUGAUCAUCGCGAAUUGACAUCGUGUUUGUUAUUAUGUAGUUAAGCAAUGUUGUAUCGUUGUAGAAGAAUAUACCAUCCAUUCAAGUGGUUGUUGCAUAAUACAACUUUUUUUCUUUAUUUCGUUCGAAUUAUUAAACCUUACGAAAGUAAGUUGCGUUAAUGUUGUAUAUUUAAAUCGACUUCAAGAAACAAGAAACGUUUGUUGAAAAAUGCCAUACGUCUAUCGUCGACGAUUGAGAUAUUCUGACGAUAUCGUUGACAAAUUUUUUGUAUUUUUUUCUUAUUAUUAUUUAUUUAUUUAUUUAUUUAUUUAUUUUAUUUUAUUUUAUUUUUUUUUUAUAUGAUCGAACUCAGUAUCAAUUGAUUUUGAGAUACUGAAGAUCAUCGAGACGGAUCGAGAAUUAUCAAAGAUGUCUUUUGUAAAUAUUCUUAACUUAUUAUCGAUCGUCAAUCUGAUAUUUUGAUGAUCGAAUGGAUACCUGUUAAAGCCAAAGUUAUCUUCUCGUUUUGCUAAUAAAAUUGUUAAUUCAUAUAAAUAAUAACAACAUUUUAUGCGACGACUUUAGAUUAAAGAAAUAUAAUUUAUGUCGCAUAAGAUGUCAAUUUCUCUGCCUACACGUGUUCGAUCCAUGGAUAAACUUUGCCAUGUUGCUCGUUUGGUCCACCGCCAUUUAUUAUUUUCUUCUAAGAACAACGACAUAUCUGUGAUCCGUAUUAAAAAAAAAAAGAAAAAAAAAAAGAAGAAAAAAGGUAAAGGAACAAAGAAAAGGGGAAAAAUAAAAUAACAAAUGAGAACUACAAGAGGUAGUAUAUAUUAUAUCAUGAAAGGUAUCUAAUGUUAAUAUAUUUACAUAUAAUGAUAUAUCAAAAAUAUAGACAUUCGAUUUCAUUCAGAAAAUGAUAUCUUUGGGGAUCUUAGAUUCGCCUAAAACUUUUACUCGAAUAUCGAAUAUUUUCACUAAUAACAAAUUCUAUUAAUGUCAAACGACUAAUUACUAUUAAACUUUAUUAGUAUUGCUAAAACGUACAUAUGUACAUAAAUAUAACCGUUUUAUCGACGGUUUACGAUCUUUAUUGUCAGUUCCAGUUGAUAUCGUUCCAAUGUAUCUCUACGAUCUUUACUAUCGAAUUAAUAAUCAAUUGUGUAUUACUAGUUAUGUCUAUAUGUCCUUUUAACAGAUCUUAUUCUUGGCGGCUGGAUUGUGUAAAAAAAAAUGUUAUCGAUUGUGCACUAUGUUAUAAAAGGACAAUAAAAGAUAUUAAAACGA
Molecule: long non-coding RNA, 2646 nt
Organism: Vespa mandarinia (Asian giant hornet)
Lineage: Eukaryota; Metazoa; Arthropoda; Insecta; Hymenoptera; Vespidae
Source: RefSeq, a predicted model, not a curated record